CACAAUCGCUCAGCAGUUUCCCCCUUUAGGCUUUAGGCAAAGCAGCGAACACUUGGUGCCCAGCCGCCGGCGUCACCCACCGGUCACCGCUCAGAACUCAUCCAAAACGGAGACGAUGGCUGGGGGGCAUGAGAGCUUCAUUCGCAGGGAGGCCAAGCGUGAAGCGUGCCGGCCGUCAUUUCCAUCCGCCACCAGUCCACCACUGUGCUGCGCUCCGCCCGGAAACGAAGCAUGGAAGAAUAAGCUCAGC
RNAcentral lists this long non-coding RNA (250 nucleotides) under Setaria italica (foxtail millet). RNAcentral's name for it is "long non-coding RNA (SITA_LNC002576)". Lineage: Eukaryota; Viridiplantae; Streptophyta; Magnoliopsida; Poales; Poaceae. The record is from RNAcentral.